CAAUAGCGUAUAUUAAAGUUGUUGCAGUUAAAAAGCUCGUAGUUGGAUUUGUGGUGUACUUUGGCGGCCCGUCACUAUGUGAUGGAGCUUGCUGAAGUCGCCAUCCUUGGGUGGAUCCUGUGUGGCAUUAAGUUGUCGUGCAGGGGAUGCCCAUCGUUUACUGUGAAAAAAUUAGAGUGUUCAAAGCAGGCUUAUGCCGUUGAAUAUAUUAGCAUGGAAUAAUAAGAUAGGACCUUGGUACUAUUUUGUUGGUUUGCGCACCAAGGUAAUGAUUAAUAGGGACAGUUGGGGGUAUUCGUAUUUCAUUGUCAGAGGUGAAAUUCUUGGAUUUUUGAAAGACGAACUACUGCGAAAGCAUUUGCCAAGGAUGUUUUCAUUGA
This 380-nucleotide ribosomal RNA is filed under the name uncultured eukaryote. Its description in RNAcentral is "partial 18S ribosomal RNA". It matches the Rfam family "Eukaryotic small subunit ribosomal RNA", at positions 592 to 976 of the family's 1831-position model. The record is from RNAcentral.